UCAUAUGCUUAAAUGUCACACAUGUGACAUGCUUGACUUGUGUAGAACCAAAGCACUUAUUCAAAUAAAAUAAUAUUUUUAAAAUAUUGUUAUCCAUAUGGGACACAUGCCUUGUGAACAUUUCAUGUGGAAGUGCCCCAUUGAUGUGACUCGUGUGAAAUGUGUAAGGUGCAUGUAAAUGGUGUGGGUUGAGUAAAUUCUAUUGGUGGUGUCACAACCCAGCCUUAUGAUUGAUACCUUUUACCAAAAUAUCCUUACCCUUGACCAUUUUCUGCACAUAGAUUUAUUAAAAACUCAAGGGGUCUUUAUGUAAAGCCUUUUUGGAUUUGAUUGGAAUUAAUAUAUGGGGACAAGGACAAAAGGGUAAUGUGGCUUUGAUUUAAGGUUUAUGAGGUGAUAAGGUGCUUAAAUCUCAUCUAUUUUUUAUUAGUUGGAUAGGGAUGAGUGGUUAGGAUAAUUAGCCUCUUAUAUACUAUUGAUGAAGUGCAUCAAGGGUCAUGAUCAAUUCAUAACUUAUACACUUUAUAUAAAUACACUUAGAACCCAAAUUCAAACCCAAACAAAACACUUUUCAUGAAUCAAAGAGAUAAAAAAGAGAUCAAAACUAGGCCUCCACAUUGAGCCCCUUUGGGUUCAUGUUCUUGGUUAGAAGAUGAUCUUUUAUGGAGUCCCUUCCUUCUACAAGGUCAAGUCCAUCAUACGGCACCAUCAAGGUAUCAUGUAUUUGUGAGUUUUUCCUUCAUUGCUUCACUUUCUCAUGAUCUAAGCUUGCUGUAAAUUCAUGUUUACAGAAGUUUAGCUUCCCCUUUCCAUUGCUUUAGAAUGAUCUUUAAGUUAGACACAUAAGGUGUUUCUCUUAACUUUGAUCAUGAGUUCAAUACCUUGAUUGCUUUAUAAUUCAUAUGUAGUUUCUCAUAGAUCCUUUCCAUCCAAAUUUUCUUGAGUAUAUAUUUAUUAAUAUUCAAGUUCAGAUAAUUAUUAUCCAUUUUAAAAGUCCAUUUGUUGAGUUAGAGUUCGUCUUUUUACAUUGAGAAAAAGUUUGGUGGACCGGUGGACUAUAUGGAGUAGUUUGUUCAUAUUUGGCUCGUUUUGAGUACAAUAUCUCUUAUUCUCUUUUGCAAACCGAUAUCCAUCAUUUUAAUCUCUCAUUGGGCCUUAAUAGUUAUUUUAAAAAUGUUUCAAGCUUCCCAUUUGAAUUGAUAAUCUUGAGAUUAUAAAACCACUCUUGCACUCAUCUUUGGGACAAAAUUAAUUCUUCAAAAGCCUCGAUUGUGGGCCGGGCACAAGGGGUUCGCACCAUGGCUUCCCCCAUAAUCAUUUGCAUGUUAAUUUGAUAUAUUUAAUGUUAUUAAGUGAUUAAUGAAUGAUAGAUCUGAGUAUGUUAUGUGAAUAUUGAGAUUAUUCUUAAAAUCUUGUGAUAUGAGCUAUAAUGUUAUACUCUAUUGUUCAUGCAAAUGGAAAUCCCAUUUGAUUGUUAUGAGUAACUAUAGGAUGUGUAUAAGACAAUGUGACAUAUGAUGAGAAUGAAUAUUGAAGAAGAGAUGCUUAUGUAAUUUUUAUAGAUUGAUGAAUUUGAGCAUAAGUUUGUAAUAUGUUGUAGAGAUGUACAUUUGAGUAUUUGGACAUUGUAUUGAGCUUAAUUGUAUUUUGAGAAAGGGAUAUCUAAG
RNAcentral lists this long non-coding RNA (1667 nucleotides) under Amborella trichopoda. RNAcentral describes it as "long non-coding RNA (ATRI_LNC000258)". The record is from RNAcentral. Lineage: Eukaryota; Viridiplantae; Streptophyta; Magnoliopsida; Amborellales; Amborellaceae.